RNAcentral lists this ribosomal RNA (403 nucleotides) under uncultured bacterium. RNAcentral describes it as "partial 16S ribosomal RNA". It matches the Rfam family "Bacterial small subunit ribosomal RNA", at positions 28 to 526 of the family's 1533-position model. The record is from RNAcentral.
GACGAACGCUGGCGGCGUGCCUAAUACAUGCAAGUCGAACGCAGUGGGGACGGGUGAGUAACCCGUGGGUAACCUCCCAACAGAGGGGAUAACACUUGGAAACAGGUGCUAAACCGAUACUGAUGGAUGGACCCGCGGUGCAUUAGAUAGUUGGUGAGGUACCGGCUCACCAAGGCCACGAUGCAUAGCCGACCUGAGAGGAGAAUCGGCCACACUGGAACUGAGACACGGCACAGACUCCUACGGGAGGCAGCAGUAGGGAAUCUUCGGCAAUGGACGAAAUUCCGACCGAGCGACGCCGCGUGAGUGAAGAAGUUUUUCGGAUCGUAAAACUCUGUUGUUAGAGAAGAGGUAUCUCACCAGAAAGCCACGGCUAACUACAUGCCAGCAGCCGCGGUAAUUC